RNAcentral lists this non-coding RNA (21 nucleotides) under Arabidopsis thaliana (thale cress). The record is from RNAcentral. Lineage: Eukaryota; Viridiplantae; Streptophyta; Magnoliopsida; Brassicales; Brassicaceae.
CUCAGCCUUUUUCUUGUCUUC